AAAAAGUCUAUGACGAGAAGAGUAACUGAUAUACUUGUCCAAAGAGAGCCGGCGGUUGGUGAAAGCCGGUGUCAAGAUAUGAGCGAAAAUCAUCUCUGAGAUGCCUAGCUGAAAUUGUUCUAGUAAGCUAUGCCGGAACUGCCCGCCGUUAAAUUAGGGACGCGUAUGUUGGUACGUUGAUCGAGAGCCGCAUUUUUUGUUGUGCGGAAGUAGGGUGGUAACGCGAGCUAGCUCGUCCCUAUC
This 243-nucleotide non-coding RNA is filed under the name Bacillus sp. (in: firmicutes). RNAcentral's name for it is "Bacillus sp. T-box sequence". It matches the Rfam family "T-box leader". Rfam says of the family: Uncharged tRNA acts as the effector for transcription antitermination of genes in the T-box leader family. Lineage: Bacteria; Bacillati; Bacillota; Bacilli; Caryophanales; Bacillaceae. The record is from RNAcentral.